Molecule: ribosomal RNA, 465 nt
Filed under: uncultured bacterium
Lineage: Bacteria
Description: partial 16S ribosomal RNA
Rfam family: Bacterial small subunit ribosomal RNA
Source: RNAcentral
CCUACGGGAGGCAGCAGUGGGGAAUAUUGCGCAAUGGGCGAAAGCCUGACGCAGCGACGCCGCGUGAGGGAUGAAGGUCCUCGGAUCGUAAACCUCUGUCAGCAGGGAAGUACGGUCACUGUACUAAUCAGCAGUGAAUUUACUGUACCUGCAAAGGACGCACCGGCUAACUCCGUGCGAGCAGCCGCGGUAGUACGGAGGGUGCGAGCGUUAAUCGGAUUUACUGGGCGUAAAGCGCUCGUAGGCGGUAUGUCAAGUCAAGGGUGAAAUCCCCGCGCUCAACGUGGGAACUGCCGUUGAAACUGGCAGACUGGAGUGUAGUAGAGGAGAGUGGAAUUCCAGGUGUAGGAGUGAAAUCCGUAGAUAUCAGGAGGAACAUCAGUGGCGAAGGCGACUAUCUGGCACGUAACUGACGCUGAGGAGCGAAAGCGUGGGUAGCAAACAGGAUUAGAUACCCGGGUAGUC